RNAcentral lists this ribosomal RNA (447 nucleotides) under uncultured crenarchaeote. Its description in RNAcentral is "partial 16S ribosomal RNA". It matches the Rfam family "Archaeal small subunit ribosomal RNA", at positions 330 to 747 of the family's 1478-position model. Lineage: Archaea; Thermoproteati; Thermoproteota. The record is from RNAcentral.
GCGCAGCAGGCGCGAAACCUUCGCAAUGCACGAAAGUGCGACGAGGCUACUCCGAGUGCCAUCCGCUGAGGAUGGCUUUUGCCAGGUCUAAACCGCCUGGAGAAUAAGGGGAGGGCAAGUCUGGUGUCAGCCGCCGCGGUAAUACCAGCUCCUCGAGUGGUCGGGACGAUUAUUGGGCCUAAAGCAUCCGUAGCCGGUUCUGUAGGUCUCCUGUCAAAUUCAACGGCUCAACCGUUGAGCUGCAGGAGAUACCGCAGGGCUAGGAGGCGGGAGAGGUGGACGGUACUCUAUGGGUAGGGGUAAAAUCUUCUGAUCCAUGGAAGACCACCAGUGGCGAAGGCGGUCCACCAGAACGCGCUCGACGGUGAGGGAUGAAAGCUGGGGGAGCGAACCGGAUUAGAUAUGAAGUUGAGUUUUUACCAGCUUCACUAGAAACCCGGGUAGUCC